CAUUAAUGAAUUGUAAAUGGGGGCUGAUGCUGGCAGUUGAUUCUUCAGUUGCAUGUGCUCGCUUCUAACAAUCCUUAUCCAAACACUUGUGCACCUUUGAAAGGAAGGGAAGUUUUCCCUUCUUAUUUAUAUACACUGUCUCUAUAAUGUUGAAUGUGAUCUUGUGCCUUUUAAGGCCUUAAUGUUAAUACAACUUUUAACAACGGAUCUCUUGGCUCUCGCAUCGAUGAAGAACGCAGCGAAAUGCGAUAAGUAAUGUGAAUUGCAGAAUUCAGUGAAUCAUCGAAUCUUUGAACGCACCUUGCGCUCCCCGGUAUUCCAGGGAGCACACCUGUUCGAGUGUUGUGAAAUUCUCAAGCUUAGAUGCCUUUGUCCAAAGUCAUCUUAGUCUUGGUUAUUGGGCUCUGCCGUGUGCCCCCUUUUGUUGAGGGAACGGCUGGCCUUAAAAAUAUUAGCUGAUCCUCGUGUAGCAAUUGGUUCUACUCAGCGUGAUAAUAAUUCUGACCGCUGAGGACAUCUUUCGGGAUGGCCAUUUCUCUCUUGGGUUGCUUCGAACACUGGUUUUACAGAUCUCUGAAUCUGUUCCACUAUCAAGUUUGACCUCGAAUCAGGUGGGACUACCCGCUGAACUUAAGCAUAUCAAUAA
RNAcentral lists this ribosomal RNA (646 nucleotides) under Clavulinaceae sp. LM3585. RNAcentral describes it as "eukaryotic LSU rRNA". The stretch from base 192 to 345 matches the Rfam family "5.8S ribosomal RNA". Lineage: Eukaryota; Fungi; Basidiomycota; Agaricomycetes; Cantharellales; Hydnaceae. The record is from RNAcentral.